GUGCCCGUAGCUCAGUUGGAUAGAGCUCCCGCCUUCUAAGCGGAUUGUCGCAGGUUCGAAUCCUGCCGGGCACG
Molecule: transfer RNA, 74 nt
Filed under: Verrucomicrobiia bacterium AMD-G2
Lineage: Bacteria; Pseudomonadati; Verrucomicrobiota; Verrucomicrobiia
Also listed under: 3 other names
Description: Verrucomicrobiae bacterium AMD-G2 tRNA-Arg
Rfam family: tRNA
About the family: Transfer RNA (tRNA) molecules are approximately 80 nucleotides in length.
Source: RNAcentral